RNAcentral lists this ribosomal RNA (357 nucleotides) under uncultured bacterium. RNAcentral's name for it is "bacterial SSU rRNA". It matches the Rfam family "Bacterial small subunit ribosomal RNA", at positions 29 to 409 of the family's 1533-position model. The record is from RNAcentral.
AACGAACGCUGGCGGCAUGCCUAACACGUGCAAGUCGAGCGGGGACUUCGGUCCUAGCGGCGGACGGGUGAGUAACGCGUGGGAACGUGCCCUUUGCUUCGGAAUAGCCCCCUGGAAACGGGGAGUAAUACCGGAUGUGCCCUAUGGGGGGAAAGAAUUUCGGCAAAGGAUCGGCCCGCGUUGGAUUAGGUAGUUGGGUGGGGGUAAUGGGCCUACCAAGCCGACGAUCCAUAGCUGGUUUGAGAGGAUGAUCAGCCACACUGGGACUGAGACACGGCCAGACUCCUACGGGAGGCAGCAGUGGGGAAUCUUAGACAAUGGGCGCAAGCCUGAUCUAGCCAUGGCCGCGUGAGCGAU